AAACCUGCCCUUUAGCGGGGGAUAGCCCUGGAAACCGGGGGGUAAUACCGCAUACGCUCAUUUUAUCGCAUGGUAGGAUGAGGAAAAGCCUUGCUUGAUAGAGCAGGGUUACUGAAGGAGGGCUUUGCGGCCUAUCAGGUAGUUGGUGAGGUAACGGCUCACCAAGCCAAAGACGGGUAGCUGGUCUGAGAGGAUGGUCAGCCACACUGGAACUGAGACACGGUCCAG
Molecule: ribosomal RNA, 228 nt
Filed under: uncultured bacterium
Lineage: Bacteria
Description: partial 16S ribosomal RNA
Rfam family: Bacterial small subunit ribosomal RNA
Source: RNAcentral